Schistocerca gregaria is the source of this 634-nucleotide long non-coding RNA. RefSeq lists it as uncharacterized. Lineage: Eukaryota; Metazoa; Arthropoda; Insecta; Orthoptera; Acrididae. The transcript has 2 exons. The record is from RefSeq and is a predicted model, not a curated record.
GUUCACCUGCCGAUUCGCGGCUAUAGAAUCUCAGUCGUACGAAGCGACAACCCGUCACCGCGAACGCCAUGUGUGGUGGCCUAAACAAUAUCGCGUCUGCCUCUAACAGGGCAGUCAUCCGCGGAAAGCAGUUUCUCGACUCGUCGACAAACAAAAACGGAGCGCUUGCCACGAUGCUGACUUCUAGAAGAUUCCACGUCACACCGACGCUGUUCAAGGCUACUGCAGAGAGGACUACUCCGCCAACGGCAAAUGACGGGUCUUCCAGCUCCUCGAUUUCGUCCCCAUCACCGAGACUGGAAGCUUCUGGCUGGAUCCCGUCGCCCUCGUCAGCAAGACUGGACGCAGCCUGCUCCACUUCAUCAUUCUCCACACAUUCGCAAGACAAAGCCAUGCCCUCAUUCUCCGGUUUCAUCGUCGCUGUGAAAACGUGAGAGUGUUCCUUUGUACGUUAAAAUUUCGGACUGACCACAGAUUGGUCCUAACGACAAGUUGUUAGCUGCAACUAACAGCGAAAUCUAGAUCGUCGACACGACGUUCUUACACGAAACCUGUAGAUCUGAUUUCUUAUACUAUUAUGUACUCACAUGAGAUCUUUGACAAUAAAUAUUCAUUUGACUACAAUACCCAACAA